Molecule: ribosomal RNA, 503 nt
Filed under: uncultured bacterium
Lineage: Bacteria
Description: bacterial SSU rRNA
Rfam family: Bacterial small subunit ribosomal RNA
Source: RNAcentral
GAUGAACGCUAGCUACAGGCUUAACACAUGCAAGUCGAGGGGCAGCAGGGAUUUAGCUUGCUAAAUCCGCUGGCGACCGGCGCACGGGUGCGUAACGCGUAUCCAACUUUCCCGUUACUCAGGGAUAGCCUUCCGAAAGGGAGAUUAAUACCUGAUGGUGUUUGAAGUUCGCAUGUUCUUCAAACUAAAGAUUUAUCGGUAACGGAUAGGGAUGCGUGACAUUAGAUAGAUGGCGGGGUAACGGCCCACCAUGUCUACGAUGUCUGGGGUUCUGAGAGGAAGGUCCCCCACACUGGAACUGAGACACGGUCCAGACUCCUACGGGAGGCAGCAGUGAGGAAUAUUGGUCAAUGGGCGUAAGCCUGAACCAGCCAAGUAGCGUGAAGGAUGACUGCCCUAUGGGUUGUAAACUUCUUUUAUACGGGAAUAAAGUGCCUUACGUGUAGGGUUUUGUAUGUACCGUAUGAAUAAGCAUCGGCUAAUUCCGUGCCAGCAGCCGCGGU